AAAACAAAAACAAAUGAACAAACAUUAACAAACAAACAAGAAAAAACCCACCCAAAAUACUGCAGAUGUGAAGUCCGUCUAGAUCAGAAGCAGCAUCACGCAACCAGUUGAGGUUGGAACACACCAGUAAGUGGCCUGGCUGCUGCUGGAGCGAGUGGAGAGGAAGGAAGUGGAGGGAGGGCCUCAAAGACCUAGGAGCUGAGUAUAACUACACUACGUAAGCCAGAUAUUUUCUCAGCAUACUGCCUGGAGAACAAAGCAGGGGUUAAAAAUGAAACCUUAUGUUUUACAAAAUUGAUACAGACCACACAACAAACUUAGCAAUAGAAAGUUCAGCUUAAUAAUCUGUGGAUGAUUACAGAGAAUUUGUCAACAUAACAAGUGAGCCAACAGUUCAAAACCAUUAUGUGCAUAAAUGCUUUAAAGAAUGAAGAGAAAUGAAUCUCAAAUGCCAAACCACUGGGAAUUCUGUAGACAGCAUUGUCCUAGUCACAAUCUUCUGUAAGGAAUCUUUAUUGCAGUUUAGAAAUGGUAGCACAGAACAUUAUUUUGUAAAGAAAAAAAAUAGGAGAAAAUGUAUAGCUGCAGUUGGUGAGAGCUGAGGACAUAUUAAUGGCAAAGUGCAACACGACUGAACAAGGACAGGAAUUGCAGGGACAGUGGUGCGUUACUGAAGGUGUACUUAGACAUUGCUGAAUUCAGGGUAAUCAGAGAGAUGGACCUUUGGUCUGACUUCUCAGUGGAAGUUGUAAGUCAUCUGCUUUGAAACGUGAAAUGAAACUUUUCCUGUAAACUUCUGCAUCAUCAGGCUGUGUACUUGGUUGCCCAGAGGAACUCUUCAGCAGUAUACCACGUUCAGCAGUAUAGCAGAUGCUUUUAAACUGGAAAAUGAAAUGACAUUAUGAAAGCUGAAGCGCAAUACAAGUCAUGGGUUCUAAUUACUGAGGUUUGUUUUUUCUUGUCUUCUUUGCAUGCCAGACACCAUGAACUGUACACAAUUUUAAGUUUGGGGUAGCAGUGGAAUUUAUCUAUUCUGUAAUCAAGUCGUGACAUUAUCACUCUGUGGUUUGCUCAUUUGCCACUAUUUCUGUUGUUCCAGCCACUAUCAUCGUUUCAAGAAUGUAUGGUUUAGCAUGUAUGCUUUGAAGUCAUUAGCAGAUAUGAAAAUACAUAUUUGAACAUGCAACUGCUGUGUUGCACAAGUAUGAACUUCCUCUCAUUUGAACUGUGGUGCAGCUCCAAAAUGUUCAUUUUAACGAGGUUUCACUGUAAACAGAACAUACGCUGUAAAUUUAUCUGUAUUAAUUUAAAAAGCAUGACAAAUGUAUUUGUAAUCUUUCACAAACUGAGCCAGAUCAAUUAAUGGAUCUAAUUGAGUAAAUCUGAAAAGAUGUAGGAUGAUCAACCUCAAAAGCAGGUAUCUGACAAUAUUUCUGAGGAAAAAAAAGAGGGCAGAAAAAUGAGUAGAGAAUAAAAUAAAGUAUUUAACACCCCCCUAAAUGUAUGGCAAGGAAAAAAAUCCAUGUCAAAUUAAUAGGCACAUGCUGGUUAAAAAGAAACAAAUUCCUCCCUGUGUCAAUACAUCUACUGUAGUUUGCCAUUAAACACUUUCAUAAUUCCUUUCUUUCUUCACUAGAUGCAACAUAUUUGACUGAAAAGUAGUUGCAAUAAUGUGAAGUUUUCUGGAAAGCCAUGAAUACCUUAUGUGAGUGGGAAUAUGUUCAGUUGCCUGUUGCUCCACAGCCAUUAAUCUGAUGAAUAAAGAGUUUGCACAUGGGUUCACUCAGAGAGUUAACAUCUGAUUUUACAUGGAAAUAUUUGAAAGAAAAAGUACAGCAUUGCCUGAAGCCUGUUAGAGAGACUUUGGAGAUUUAUUUAAUGCAGUUUCUUGCUUUCAUUCCCGUUGUCUACUAAGAAAAGUAUGCUGUUUUGAAAUAUAGAAUGAAAUAAGGGGAAACAAGUCAAACAAUGUUUCAAGCAGAGGAAAAAAAAAAUGUCCCUUGCCUCAAACACAUAUAAAACCUGUUUUCAGUGUUCAACUUUUGCUAUACUACUUCAUUGCUAUCAACAUUAAACCAGAUGAUUUCUAACCCCUACACUGAUUUAUUUAAGAUGAAAUAAAGGGAUGGGAAUUACCAUAAUUUAUCAAUAUGAAACAUCCUUUUUUUUAUCUAGGAUAAUCACAUCAAUAAUUCAGUUUAAAAUAAUUUUUAAAAGAUAUUUACUACUUAUAUUUUCCCCAUGGAGAUAAAUGAUUGUUGCAGGAGCUACCAGUAAGCUGAAUGUCAGAAGUUACUAAGUGAAACUGAGUAACAGCCUGAACAAGGAUUUAGAAUGAUUUUGGUUUCCUGGUGGGUUCAGGAAGUCUUCAGUCAUAAACUGUGUGUCUCUCUGUGUUGCUUUUCUCACUAAUUUUGAAUUUAUUGGCUAGUGGAUGUUGAGGGUGUAAAAGAGGAGAAGAAAUAGGUGGGACAGCUGUAUUGGCUGGUGGAAUAUGCUGGAUAAUCUCUUAUGAGUGAGGUUGUAGGUACACAGCUUCUGACAGUUGCUCUGCCUUUUCCUUAUUGCAGUGUACUGUAUGUGGAUGAUUAGAAUAAUGCUUGAUUGGGCUUGUCCUUGCUUCUUCCUGUACUGUUUUUAAGGACAUUAAAGAGAUACUUGAUUGAUGCAAAAUCUCAUGAAACCAGAAGUUGCAUUGUUUGAACAAAGUAUAUAUCAAACUAUAUUCCAUAUUGGGUUCAUGUUGUCUACUUGGUUUGAAGAACAAAAUAGUUGUGCUGCUUUCAAACAGUUGUGUUCAGCAAAUUGCUCUCUCCCUCAAGUAUUUUACAAUUAAUUUAGAUAUUUAUUUUGAUUUAGUAAAUUGUCUCAAGCUUGUGUUGAGAGAAAAAAAGCUGCAUGCAGUCAUUUGUUCUGUCUUAUCUCUUUGGUCUGAGAUCUGAAACUUCUGAGUGAAUUCAAUUCCUUAAUUAUUGUACGUACAGUUUUCUUCAUGUGUUCUUUGUUGCUGGUUUGAUGGGGGUUUUCUGAGUGAAAUUUGCUGACUUGUACAGAUUUGUCUAAUUGCAGGCAGUUGUCAACUAUAUCUAAAUGGCAGCUGGGUGUCCUUAGAAGAUAAACACAGAGCAGUGUUCAGUUGCUUAUGUGGUGUUGCCUGUAGAGACCAACUGUCCCACGUGUCUGCAGAUAAAGUCAGGACUCUUUAGAGCUGGUUCAUGACCCAAGAAAGAGAGCCAAAAGCAAGACAGUAGGGAAGUUUUCUUCUUUGCUUUUAGUCGCUCCUAUAGACAGCAAAUACUGACUCAGCACAUAAUCCUCAGCUGCUUCAGAAACUGCUUGGAAUGUUUGGCUGUGACUUGUCAGCUAAGCAGCUUCCAUAAGAAGGCUUCUUUUUCUUGCCAGACCUUCAUGUAUUGGAACAAAGCUUGUUUCAGAGCAGGUUUUGUCUUCAUUUAGCUUGGUUAUUAACUUAGGGAGGUUAUGAAAAGAUACAGAGGCUCUUCAAAAAUGGGGUUUGUUGGCCUGCUGAAGGGUAAGAAAUAAAUCCACAAUGAAAAAGAAUAAAAUAAAACUGUGAAACAAAACGUUGGUGGGGGAAAGAUCUUUAGCUCUGAGCUGCAGUCAUGUGCUAUAGUGCAAUCUCUUAUAGCAUAAUAUUUCCAGAAUCCAGCUUUUCCAAAUGGGUUACUGUUGCGUUGAGAUGAAAUUAUUCUUAUUUGGUUUCAAACCCUAGUAUCAGAGAGAUACAAUAGGAAGGAAUAUUCAGAUUGUGGUUUUCAAAAGGGAUGUUGACACCCAUCAGUUGCUUGUGCGAGCUUUCAUUUGCACUUCCUUGAUUCAUAAAAGAAAACAUUCUGUUCACAGAUUUUAUCCUGUUCUGUUAUUAAAUUGAAUUGAUUUCAACUUGGCCUUGCAGAAUUUGAAUGCUCCUGAAUGGCUACAAAUCAUGUAUUUAAAGAGCAUUUUGAGGUGUAGAAGCUGCAGAUAUGCGAUUCAGUCUGUGAGCACCAGGCACCCAGAGAUAUGCUGCCCAGUUAGAUCAGAUUUCUUUAUAGCUGUGAUCCAAGCCAUGAAGUGAGAACUCAAAAUGUGAGUUGGAAUUUGACAUAGGUUUUCCAUGUUUUGGAACAGUCAGUCAGAAGAAUGAACACCCAUUUGUGAGGAAAGUGGAAACUGAGUGAAAAAUAAAGCAGAGAGGCAUAAAAAUUCCUCAACCUGGCCUCCCGUUCAACUAAAGGAAAUAGUCACAGUACUGAGUACUUGGAAAUUUUCAAGGUACGCAGGAUUAAAGGGAACACCUGAUUUCCACAUCUGUUUCUUUUCAAAUGGAAAAGAAGUGGAGGUAUUGCAGAAAGGUAUUGCCCUGCUGGAACCUGAGCGAGAUGUGAUGCGUUAACUACCGUAUGUUCACACCCAGUUUACAAAGGAGCGGUUUUCUUGUCAAUGCAUCUAAUUUUCCUUGUUGUGGUCCACCUAAGUAGAUGAUUAAUUAUGGUAAGUACUUCUGAUGAUUGAUUAUUGUUAACUUGUAAUAGCUUGAUUUUUUUUAAAGUACAAAUGUUUUGCUUUAUUUUAUAAUCUUACAACUAUACCUCUAAGAUAUUAUAGGGUUUAAAAGUUACAUUAUGUGCCAUCAAGCACUUCUAUUAUUGUUGAGUAGAUUGAUGAUUACUUGGCGUUUUCUGUACUUGUAGAGUUGCAUGUUUAAGAAGGUCUGACAAUGUCUGCCUUAAAUGUUGCAUCUUCAUUUUGAAAAUGGUAGUGCAUUUAAUAAGGUCCCAUGAUAAAUCCAAUGAAGUUGUACAAAAGUGUGCUAAGCUGCCAUUUUACACUUGAGAAAGCUUAGCUAUAAAAUACAGUGUGACUUGCUUGAAGCCACACAGCAAGUCUUUGAGAAAGCCAGAGUGAGUUUGGAUUUAUUCUUUCUAUCUUUUCUCUCAAAUAUAAGAGAUAUUUCUUGUUCCAAGUAAGGUAAAGCAUUUAGGGAGAAAUUGUCACGGUUGUAUACAGCAGAAAAGAAAGAGAUGAUGCAGUAGUGCACAUUAAUGAGUAUGUUUGCAUUUGCAAGUUAAGAUCAGUCAUGAAAAAUCUGAUCUUAAAUGAAAAUUUUAAUAAUUAUGUGCAUUUGAACAACUAUACAGCUUUAUUAUCUGAACUGUGGCAUUCUCUAAAAACACAUAAGUAUGCAUCUGCUUGAAAGAUUUCUAAUGUUGCUAUAUUAAAAUUCUUGUUAUCAAUAAAAAGAACCCUCUGGAAUAACAAACGAUUUUUCCAUAUGCAAAAAUCUUUAGAACUGUGUGGUCUAAAAAUGAGACAUUUCCAAAUAAAAUUGUGCUGUGCACAAGAAAUUGAGGGAAAAGUCCUUAAGGUGACUUUUAAAUGAAAAUGAAAUGUCUUUUAGUAAGUUUCAGAGGUACAAUAUUACAGACUGGUAGAAUUGUAUCUCAUUAAUUUCAAACAUAGAUUUUAUGUGAGGCUAUUUGAUUAUAAUUUGAUUAUCUGACCCUGUAAUUAAAGUUUAUUGCCAAUUUCAAAGCUUAUGUGUAAAAUGAACUGGUUUUCUUCAAAGCAAUAUACAAUCCAUUGGACUCAUUGACUUCUAGUUUUGCAUUUAAAUCGAAAAGUCUGUUAUAACAUGACAAACAGGUUCAGUUUUUGAUCAUUAAUCCUGCUAAGCAAUAUUCAUAAAUUCAAUUUUGAAUCAGUUGGAAUACUUUUCUUUUAUUAGUUUCUGUGUUAUUAAAUGAGAUUGUUUCUGACUAAUAUAUUUCCGGACUCAAACUGUAGCUCCAAGCUGUUAUUCAAAUCAAAUAACAUGCCCCUUACUUGUGCCUAGCACUAAUAAAUGCCAACUUGUGAUACAUUUGUGGGAGACUGUCACGAAUAUUAAAGGAGGCAAUAAUGCCACUAAUGUCUCAUAACUAAGCUUAUUUUUCUAAAGGGCUGAAAUCAGUCAUCCUACUGAGGAGGGCAACGGGGGAAGAACCUUUAAGACUUAAAGCCUAAAGCAUUAUUUUACUCUGCUAAACAUUAUUAUUGAGGAGGUAAAUGACCAAGAAAUUACCACUGAAGAGAAUGAAAAAUAAAGCGUGUAACUUCUGGUGCCACCCUGAGCAACAGAAAUGCAUCCACUGCUAAGCAUAUGCUCGUUCUCAUAAAAUUGCAUGUUCAUUGGUCUGGAGGCAUGUUUUUCUUCCUCUGAGUGUCUGAAUUAAAGAAAGGGGAGAAAAAAAAUCCCCCUUUUACUGUUAUUGUCAACCUCCUACUUCAGUCCUUUUGAGAUAUUCCUGGUAACGGUUCGGGGGUUUGGUGUAGAACACAAGUUUAACACGCUGACAUGAAAUCAUCUGACAGAUAAAUAGGAUUAACUUGUCUGAGAUGUCAUCCAGCAGCCUGGUGACUGGGGAGGCCGGGCUGGGGGUGUGACUGGGAUGCUGGAAACAGAAUGGGCCCAACCUGUGUGCCAGUGUGUGGGCACAAGGUCAGUGCUGAGACUCAGAUGUGACUAUUUUAACUGUUCUGCUUCUUCCUCUCUCAAAAUAUAACCCCAGCACCCCCCAAAAAUAAAUAAAUAAAUAGAAAUAAUGAUCUCAUAUUUCUGAUAUAGUUUAUCAGCGUUGGUAUCAUACAAAGUACCAAAAUCAUUGAUAAAUUGUAGCAAGGCAACUAAUGUAAUCGGGCUUAGUUGUCUUUUGUUUUUUUAAUGCUGAUUCCUACAUCAGUGAUGUAUUUAACUGGAAAGCAUGAAAGGUUGAGAUGAAAACUGUUGGUGUUUUGUGAUUGCCUUUAGUUCUUAUAGACUGUUCUGUUGAGCGCAGGGUUUACUCUAAUGUGAUUGAAUUAGCUAAUUCUGUGACCCCUGCAUGAUGUGUUUCAGAUAGGUAGCCUUUCCUCUGGACUUGCUGACUGCACAUCCUGGCUGAAUGCCCAUCAUACUGCCUUAUCUUGCUCUUGUGUCAGAGUUCAGGCUCUAACAGAUGGCACCAGGUCGAUGCUGAGUGAUACCUCUGGGGAGGUGAUGCUCUGCCCUAGCACUUGGCUUACCCAUUUUCAGUUUCUCAAAUGAAACAGAAACUAAUCAUGAUUUUUUUUAUCAUCAGAGUAAUUUCUCACUGGGCUACUCAGAGGUGAGCUGUGAGCUGGAGCUCUCAGAGCAGAUACUUGCUUAAAGUUUCCUGUAAUUUAGCCAAUAUACAUGUAUUUUAAUUCUGAAAUGUUUCCUAAUUUAACAAAUGUUAUCAGCCUCCCCAGAGAGAGAUUCAUGUAUCUUCUCUAUGUCAUUUAUUAUUUUUUUCUGAAGUACAGUUGAAUCCUUUGGUUUGAAAGCUUCUAAGUUAUUUUUAAAGUAAUAAGUUGUUAUUUGAACUUGUCAUUAUGCACAAAGUACUUAUUUCUUACAGUCAGCACUAGAAGAGAACAAGGGUUGUCGUAUGUACUUACAGCAUGUUAUGACCGAUGCUAACUCUGGAUGGUAUGAUGCAAAAGUGGUUUGAAGUAUGCUACUAUUUCCGUCUAUUUAUGUGUUGCUGUCAAAGCUUCCCAGUCACUUUGGUUAAUCCAUUCCAAGUGCCAGUAGUUAUCAUGAGCUCUACGCUGACUGCUAUGAUGUGAAACUUUGCAAUCUGUGCACCUCUGAUGUCAUCAGGAGCCACUGAUGUCAGAGCUGCUUCUGCAGAGCAUGAAGGUUGUCACAUUACAUCUGCAUGAAAGGUAUUGAUUUAAUCCAUCUGAUGGUAGGCCUGUUAGAAAUGUAAUUGUCCACUGAAAGGACAGGUGUGCAAAUGGACAUCCCAGCAAAAGGCAGCAGUCUUUCAAAGUAACGUUUUACAUUACUCAGAUCAUUCCUGCUUGUUUUCUUCCUCCAGUUGCCCUCAGCCUGAGCCUGUUAUUGAUAUAAAGGUUGAAGCUCAGGCAGCUUAACUGUUAUGUGGAAUGACCUUUACUUUUAAUAUUAAUAUAUUAUUGUAAAGUCUAUGAGACUCAUAAAUGCAAUUUUAGAAUUCAUAUGAAAUGCCAUGUGCUGAACCUAUUGCAACUUUUCCUCUAGUCCUGUGGCAGGUUGCAAACUAUGUGAAUUAAUAUGCAUCAUAUUCUUUCCCCUUUAUUUACUUAGAGAGGUUUGCCGAGCAACUUUAUCAAGAGUAACAUUAUCAAGAGCUUUCCUGCAAGCUUCUUUAUCAUAUUCACAUCCGUGUCUGCUCGACACUUGUCACUGUCAAUCAAAUCGCAAUAAUACGCAGAUGAUUUGCUCAUUUGGUUUAAUAAAAUCUCUCUGCUUAUUUGCACUGCAGUCAUUAUGCCACAUAAUUGCUCUGCCGCUGAGGUGAAAGGCAGCCAGUUGCCUGGGGGAUAAGAAGAGACUAUUGCUAUAUGAAGGAUUUGUUUCUUUUCCUCUGUCUCUCCCUAGUCACUCAUAUCCCUAAAAUUAAUAUUGUAUUUGAAUCCAGUCCUGCUAUUCUUAUGCAGGCUAACAUUGUUAUUACUUAUUAUUUGGAUGUGAAGUCAUUUAUUUUUAGUUUUGAUGUCCAAGCUGUCAAGCUAAAUUUCAUUGUGUUCUGCCACAUACAAUUUUUAACUGCCAUUUAAACUAGAUUCAGAACCCAAAUUAUGAAGAGAACAUGUUCAAAGGAAUGGGCUGACAGGAAGUAUAGCUACAAUUUCUAUUUCCUAGGAAAUCAAAGUAUAGAUCUUGUUAUUGUUCUGCGGUGGAAAUAUGUGCGGUUUUCGUACUUCAUAAUGGUUUCUGUAUUGGCUGGACACUGUGCUUCAGAAGCAGAAGAAAGGCAGCUAUGUAUGCAUAUUGGCAGCCCUAGAGGUGCAAAACAAAGGCAUCCAGUUCUGGAAAUGACAGAGCACAAAACCAGCUCAACUUACUGUUGUUAAUUUCAGAGUGAUUUGUACUCCAUUUUCCAGUAGCUUCUGCUGUGAUGGAUAAUGGGAGUGAAAAUGAGGAGUCUGUGUGUGUAACACAAGCCUCUGCUACUUCACUGCACACUUAAUAUAGCAGUAACUGCCAUAUGAUGACAAUCAUGAGCCCAUGUUUUGGGGAUGAUUCCAUCUCAGUGGCUUAAAAUAGGAGCCUUAAAUACUUUUCUCUGCAAAUGUAUUUCAAACAGAGAGUACUUAACAUUGAAAAUUAAACACCAGACUGAAUCUGCCUAUGAAAGAAUACAACCAUAUUUAAUCGGAGCUCUGUUGGCAUGUCAGAAGUAGUACUGAUAUUUUAAGGCAAUUGAACCUGAGAAUAUCAUCUCUAUUUGUGCAUUCCCAUUUGCCUUUGCUAGAGCAUUUGGUAUAUAGCUUGCAUUCUGUUUGAAUGAGCAUACCUAUGAAGGAGAUCAUCAUUUGACUGUGUAUCUUGGUCGAUCUAUACCAUUGUGGAAUGGAUUGAAAUUGUAUUAUCCAAGUAUGCUAUAGCUUGAAACUUCAGUUUCCGGGGGGAAACUGUAUUAUUGCUAUCAGCUCACCACUGGAAUCCAUGGUUGUUAUGGCAGGGUAAUCUGAAGAUACUCAAACACAAACUUAGGUGUCAGAAGCACAUUCCAGCCAGAUGCCAUUAUUAUUUGUUAUUUGAGUAGGCUGUUUGUACUAAAAUGAUGAUCUUGAAUACUCCUUUUCUACAGAAUAUAUAGCAGUGCAGAUUUAUUCUAACUCUCAUUCUCUCAUUAUUUUUCUUGAGUAACAGAAUGUUCAUCAAAGGAGGCUGGUAAAGGCAUACCAAUGUUCUACUUCCAUGACAUACUUUUCCUUUCAUAUUGUGUUCUGAGCCCAAAAGCUAGCUGUUCAUGUGGGUGACCAAGCACCGGAAUCAGAAAGUACAUUAAGGAAUAUUAAGAGAUAUCCAAAACCCAUCAGGAUGAGCUCCUGGGCAGUCUGAGAGGACCAUUUCCACUUGAUCCUUUGUGUGAGUCUGUAAUGCAAAGAUGCAGAUGUGCCAUACAAUCAUAAUCUUAAACUGCGUUUCCACCUGUAACAAAUUUUGUUAUGUAUGAUUCCUUGGUUAUUGUUGAUUAUUUUUUUGUUGCUUGCAACAUACAGAUCUACUUAGUUAAUUCUAGGUCUGCCUGAUUCUUUUCCUAUUGAAUAAAAUUGCACAGGAUAAAAUAUUUUCUGCUAGUAAAUAUUAAGUUUUAAAUCAGAUUGAUUUAUAUCCGUCACAGAAAACUUGAACACCAAACCCCUGAGACUGCUUUAAAUAAAACCUUUCCUUUGGAUUAAUCACAAGUGUCACUAAGAGAGGAAAGAAGGAGUUUCAUUUUCUUGUCCUUACGUGGCUGUUGAUCCUUUCUAAUCUCUAAUAUUAAGAAGAUCUUAAUUCUAAAAGAGCUUAUUUUGUCAUGCUGGCUGAUUUGGCUUUAUGAAAUGUGAUGAGCUUUUGGAAGAGAUGUUAACUAUUAUAUGCAUAAUGGUUUUCUCAGAUGGAAGCGUAGCUGCUGUGUUACUAUUGUUCUAAUGUUGGCUCACUUUCUUCUUUUUGUAUGUAGUCUCAAUAUUAUUGUUAUGUUCCUGUAUCAUUUCCUUGAUGAUAAGCUGGGGGGAGGGAAAACAAAACAAACCUUGUAAAAGCAUUUGUGUAUGUUUCCAAAAAAAUCAUUCUGACCUGUGGGGAAACUUGCACCGGGUCAUGUGCAACAGAAUAUACACAGCUUAACAAAUCCCUCCAUAUCUUACAGGCAAGAACUGUAUAAAAAUGUGAAACAUACCUGUGUAUUAAUGAUUUGUGUGAACAGAGGAUAAACUUUGGUAGACAGGACUUUCAGAGGUCCUGAAAGGAAAGAUUAAUUUGGAAUCAUAUGUUUUGUAAUGAAAUAAUGAAAAUUAAUUCAAUUAUGACAGUAGCUCUUGGUUUGGCUAUUUUCGCUUGGCUCCUUGACGUAUUUUAGCCAUUUGUUUUGCUAUAAAUUGGAAUCAAUAUAUAAAAGAACAUAGAGAAUACUGCAUCAGGGAACACUGUAUCCAGGAUUUUCAUAAGAAAGAGAUGAAUCUAAUAUUAUACCUGCUAUUAAUUAACAUUAGAUUUACUAUCUGGAAGAAGGUGUUUAAAAUUCUGCAAAAUGAGACAUAAUUAUCUUCUUAUAGUCUCUUUCUCGUGAUCUUCAUUUUCCAAAGGCAUUAAGGGACCUUAGAUUUGCAAAGUGGAAAUUAUUAAGUAUAAUUAAGCUGAAAGUUUUAUUUGAUAGAGGAAUUCUCAUGAUGUUUGGAAAUACUUGGUUUAAAUCUAAUCUCACUUCACACUCUUGCUAUUUAGAAUGAAAUAUGUAAUAAAAGGAAACCACAAACAGCCAAGCCAGGCUUCAAAACUGAAGUGACUCUACUUGUUCCUUUAAAAGAGAAGAAAAAAGUAACUUCUUAACACUGAUUGGUUCUGGUAACUAUCAAAGAGAUAGAAGAUAGGACUCAAUAAAAUGCAAAUCACAGCAACCUGAGGAAAUAAAAAGAACCAAAUGAGAAGUAAAAGCUUCAAGUAACCUGUGGGGAAAAAAAAAAAAAAAGGCUGCAGCUGGCAUGGAAAAAAAGUUAAAAGCAAAGUACAUAAAACAGACAUGGACAGGGAUGUUACAUUGAGAAUUUCUUGGCCAAAGUUCUUCACAGAUGAAAAAUCUCAACUGAUAUCCUUUUAAAGUUAGCAAAAUAUUGUCGAUACUUUUAAUUGGUCUAUAAUAACCACUCCUAAAACUGUGAACAUGUGACUGGUCAAAGCUGGUUGUAAAUAGUCAGAACUGGGCAAGCAGAAUGAAGUUUAUAUAUCUUGGUCAUUCUGUAGCAGAAGCAAAGAGAAGCCUUAUUUAGCUCUAGAUUGCUUACUAAUGAGCAGACAUUUGGUUUUCUACCUGUUAAUGUUUAUUAUUAUUAUUUUUUUUCUGAGGAUCUUCAUCAGUACCUGAAGAAAGAAAGAUUCAGAAUCCAAUUGCAUUUCUAAGAGAUCCACUCAUCUGAGCUUAUGUUCUCCUUGCUUCUCAUUGCAGGGGAUCCAUCUGCAGCAGAACCAAAAUGCUUCUGUACUUCCCCAUGCCACUCAUCAGCUCUGCUUACAUUGGCUAAACGUUUGAGAGCAAAACCAAAGAUGUAACAAAGUUCCUACAUGCCUGUUUCCAGUGGAAGUAUAACUGUAAACACACAUACUUCUACUUAAACAUCAGGAUGUGCAGGCUGCAGAGAGAUGCUAGGUUGGGUGUGAGUCUUUUAUUUCCCUUCACAUAAGUAUUUACAUCAAGUCCUAGCUCAGCUUUAGAAAGGGCUCAAUGUAGUAAUUGUUUUCUUUAUAUACUCUCUAUAGUAUUUCUGUUUAGUUUAAGCUAUACAUUUGAGUACAGAAAGCAUUCAAGAAAAUAAUAGAGGAGUGAUAGCUUCUUUCUUCCCAGUUCCAAGCUCUGAGAAAGGUAGUGUUGGCUGUAGUUUUUAUUUGGAGGGAAGAGCAGCAACCUUUCUCAUAAACCUUUCAUUUAUUGAACACAGAGGUGACCAAGCUUCCACAGCAGAGUACAUGAUGAGGCUAAGACUGGCUCAUGAAAGGGUGGGGUGAACCCUAAAGAGACAAGAUUUUAUGGCACGGGUUGAGAACAUGGGAUAUGAGGUGCUGCUAAAUGGCAUGCUGUGUAAUUAAGCACAUCUCCCUCUGCACAGAGAUUUACUAGAUGACAUGUUCAUAUCCUGCCUUUUCUUAUUCCCUUUGAAGCAAGCAGCCCAGUUGAGAUGUUGUUUUUCUACCCGAAGAGAAAGAUGGAAUAAACUUCUGAAUUCUAAUACUUGAGCUGUGAGCUUGAACUUGUCAGUGAUAGAUAUUCUUUCUUGCAUGUAGAGGGCAUUCUGCGUUAUUUCUCUAAAAAUUGGAUCUUGGUAAGUUUUAUAGAUUUAUUCUGGACAAAAAUGCUGUAAACCAUCUCAGUUUGGACCUGUGUGAGUUGGGAUAGGCAGACAUGAUCUUUGGGUAGCUGUUCAUAGCUGUUUCUCAUUGAACAUGAUAGCUUCCUUUGCAUAUUCAUGCUCACUCUUCACUUUACUCUUCAUAUUCAGUUCUUUGAUCAGUUAUAUGCUAAGUUUUUAAAAUAUGCAUCUUUUUAAAAUAACCAACCGCUUACAUACCUGCUUAAUAUGUCACUUUAUUCAGAAAGUAAUAAGAAGAUGAAAGGAGGAAAGUGACUUUUGUGUAAAAAUCUCACUCCAGGUGUGAGUGGAGGAAAAAAAACAUAGUCCUACUUCAUUAUGUCCUAUCUUUGAAAUUAUGCAGGUAUUUUUCAGUCAACAAAUUAAUUUUCAGCAGGAAAAUCACAGCUAUGAGUUGGUUGGGUUUUCACUCAUCGUAUCAUAGCGUUACAGCAAAAACUGGAGUUCAUAAUGGUAUUGUGGAAACUGCUGAUCAAAGGUUGUUUACAUGGGCUGUGUUCACUGAUUUGCCACGUUGUCUCAUACAGAUGCGCUCUAAUGACUAUUCUCUGCAGAAGUGAUUUUUCAAAAGGAUUCUUUAAUCUGAUUACUCUGUAAUCGUUGGUUAUUCUUGAGUGUUUACGUGCGUAUUUGCUUGAACGUAUGUUUCACACGAUUGUGAUGCAAAUAUGCCACAUAAGAGAGGCAUUUCAAGAACAAAAUUUUUAAAGGAAAUAACAGUUUACACUGUAACUAAUCAGCAUUUUUAAGAAUAGUUUUAAAAAUGGUUUUCAAAAUCUAAAAUGAGGAACUGUAGUUCAUCUGUAGAUAUAGAGAGGUAUGAAUUUCCACCAUCAGACAUAGCCUUCAAGCUAUGCUUUCUUCAGUGUAAUGUGGUCUUUAAUUAGUCAUCGAUAGCUAACGCUAUUCAGGAACAGCCAGUCUCCCCAGCAGUCAAAUCAACAGCCAUUCAAAUACCAAAGAGUCUGAAUAUUACAUACGUAUAUAUGUUUUUAUAUGAAGCAAGUCUAGGAAGAUAAAAGGCUUCCGAUGGGGAAAUAUAGUUCAUAUUUCUGACCCUCUAUUAGAAUAGUGAGUUUGCAGUUGAAAUCUUACACUGUUGUUGUUGACAGCACUGGGAUUCUUUAAUUCUACCCCAAAAACUAGAUAACAGAUUUUGAUGAUGCAGUUAGAACUGUUUCCUCUUAUCUCUUCCCCCAGGAAAAUACACUAUUAAAGGCAUUUUUAUGUAGGUGCAUCCAUUGCUACAUCUAUUCUAACAAUUUCAUUGUUAAAAAAAUGUUGGGAAAAAGUGAAAAAUGCCUUUAACUGACACUGCUGUAUUAAAAAAAGAAAAGUUUCCAGUGUGUGCUUGUCUUCCAGACAACGUCAGUGCCUGGUCUUUUUGGCAGGAACAUUUUCACAACUAAUUUGAUACAUAAAGGCAGUAUUUCUGUUAUGCCACUCUGCAGUUCCUUUGUACGUCUGGCCGGUCCCAUCGCCUAAUUGCCUAAAGCUGCCAACUGCAAAGUCCUCAGUUGGGUAUUCACACUUCAUUCCUCCUCCCCUGCAGCACUUUGCCUCGGUAAUGCUUGAGGUACUGCAAUGAAAAAACAUAGCAAGGAAGUUAUUGAUUGUGGGAAACUGAGAAUUUGUGUAUAGAUCACCAUUACUCUCUUCUCUUUGAAGAUGUAGGACAAGCUUUCAGAAGAAAAGAACGGUGUUUGAAGUACAGUAAUAGCUCAAGAAGUGCUCACCAUUACCUGAACUCUGUUGCCUUUACUCUUGAAGUUAAGUGGCCCUUGAAAUGGUAGAUUUCUAAUUAAACUUUAUUAACUUGGUAUUUUCGUUGUUCCACUUUGUUAUCAGGCUUUUCUUGUGCUGAACUAAAUCUGUGUGAAAACGAGAGAAAUGCUACACUUUUAAAAUCCAAAUGGAUUUCCAUUUCUUCCUGUGGAUGGACAGCUGCCACUGAACUCUAUGAAAUAACCUCCGAUCUACUGACUUCUUCCUACAAGAAGAUGCGCCCUUUCCACAUUCAGCAUUCAGUAAUUAAACACUGAUCAGUGUGUCAAAUAAGGCGAUGCUUUGUGUAACGUACUUAUCCUCAGCCCUGCCCUCUCCUUAUCAGCCAAGCCUUAUCAUCGCUCAGCCGCCCCGUAGAUCUCAAUACACGCCUACAGCAGCCGCAGAGCGCCACCUAGCGGUGUAUCAGCAGAGACACAGGUAGGAGCCGGGCAGUUUCAGCCUUUGGGUUAGAAUAUGUGGUUUUGGGGUAUAUGAGGCUACGUAGCGUGGAAAAUCGUGCCUUUUUCCUAUGCUAAUUUGAAGGCUUUAUUAUUAUUAUUUGUAAUAUAUAAUUUAAAUAAAAAUUCCUCGCUGUAUUUUA
Non-coding RNA from Coturnix japonica (Japanese quail), 15253 nucleotides. Lineage: Eukaryota; Metazoa; Chordata; Aves; Galliformes; Phasianidae. The record is from RefSeq and is a predicted model, not a curated record.